This is a small nuclear RNA of Sapajus apella (tufted capuchin), 107 nucleotides long. Lineage: Eukaryota; Metazoa; Chordata; Mammalia; Primates; Cebidae. The record is from RefSeq and is a predicted model, not a curated record.
GCGCUCAGUUCAGCAGCGCAUAUACUAAAAUUGGAACGGUACAGAGAAGGUUAGCAUGGCCCCUGGGCAAGGAGGACACGCAAAUCCGUGAAGCCUUAGAAAAAAUU